CUGAUUGAUCCUGCCAGUAGUUAUAUGCUUGUCUCAAAGAUUAAGCCAUGCAUGUCUAAGUACACACAAAUUAACAGUGAAACCGCUAAAGGCUCAUUAUAUCAGUUAUGGUUCCUUAGAUCGUUAACAGUUACUUGGAUAACUGUGGUAAUUCUAGAGCUAAUACAUGCAAUUAAAACACGGACCUUUUGGAACGUGUGCUUUUAUUAGGCUAAAACCAAGCGAUCGCAAGAUCGUUUUAUUGGCUGAACUCUAGAUACAUGCAGAUCGUAUGGUCUUGUACCGACGACAGAUCUUUCAAAUGUCUGCCCUAUCAACUUUUGAUGGUAGUAUCUAGGACUACCAUGGUUGCAACGGGUAACGGGGAAUCAGGGUUCGAUUCCGGAGAGGGAGCCUGAGAAACGGCUACCACAUCUAAGGAAGGCAGCAGGCGCGUAAAUUACCCACUCCCAGCUCGGGGAGGUAGUGACGAAAAAUAACAAUACAGGACUCAUAUCCGAGGCCCUGUAAUUGGAAUGAGUACACUUUAAAUCCUUUAACAAGGACCUAUUGGAGGGCAAGUCUGGUGCCAGCAGCCGCGGUAAUUCCAGCUCCAAUAGCGUAUAUU
RNAcentral lists this non-coding RNA (607 nucleotides) under Drosophila virilis. Its description in RNAcentral is "Eukaryotic small subunit ribosomal RNA". It matches the Rfam family "Eukaryotic small subunit ribosomal RNA", at positions 4 to 605 of the family's 1831-position model. Lineage: Eukaryota; Metazoa; Arthropoda; Insecta; Diptera; Drosophilidae. The record is from Rfam by way of RNAcentral.